This 251-nucleotide ribosomal RNA is filed under the name Arcyptera meridionalis. RNAcentral's name for it is "partial 16S ribosomal RNA". The record is from RNAcentral. Lineage: Eukaryota; Metazoa; Arthropoda; Insecta; Orthoptera; Acrididae.
GGACGAGAAGACCCUAUAGAGCUUAACAUUUAAUUUAUAUAUAUUUUUAGGUUAGUUUUUUUAUAUUUAAUGAUAAUGUUUUGUUGGGGUGACAUGAAGAAUUAAUAAACUCUUCAUUAUUAAAUCAUUAAUUUAUGUUAUUUUUGAUCCAUAAUUUAUGAUCAUAAGAUUAAGUUACCUUAGGGAUAACAGCGUAAUUGUUUUUGAGAGCUCAUAUCGACAAAGCAGAUUGCGACCUCGAUGUUGGAUUA